RNAcentral lists this ribosomal RNA (382 nucleotides) under uncultured Thiobacillus sp. RNAcentral describes it as "bacterial SSU rRNA". It matches the Rfam family "Bacterial small subunit ribosomal RNA", at positions 996 to 1382 of the family's 1533-position model. The record is from RNAcentral. Lineage: Bacteria; Pseudomonadati; Pseudomonadota; Betaproteobacteria; Nitrosomonadales; Thiobacillaceae.
UCCUGCAGAGAGUGCGGGAGUGCCCGAAGGGAAUCGGAACACAGGUGCUGCAUGGCUGUCGUCAGCUCGUGUCGUGAGAUGUUGGGUUAAGUCCCGCAACGAGCGCAACCCUUAUCAUUAGUUGCUACGCAAGGGCACUCUAAUGAGACUGCCGGUGACAAACCGGAGGAAGAUGGGGAUGACGUCAAGUCCUCAUGGCCCUUAUGUCCAGGGCUACACACGUGCUACAAUGGUCGGUACAAAGGGUUGCGAUCCCGCGAGGGUGAGCCAAUCCCAAAAAGCCGGCCCCAGUACAGAUAGGAGUCUGCAACUCGACUCCUUGAAGGCGGAAUCGCUAGUAAUCGCUGAUCAGCUGGCAGCGGUGAAUACGUUCCCGGGCCUU